This 519-nucleotide ribosomal RNA is filed under the name uncultured eukaryote. Its description in RNAcentral is "bacterial SSU rRNA". It matches the Rfam family "Eukaryotic small subunit ribosomal RNA", at positions 1161 to 1704 of the family's 1831-position model. The record is from RNAcentral.
UUGGCACCACCAGGAGUGGAGCCUGCGGGUUAAUUUGCCUCAACACCGGCAAACUCCCCCGGCCCGGACACCGGGAGGAUUGACAGAUUGAUAGGUCUUUCACGAUUCGGCGGCUGGUGGUGCAUGGCCGCUCUUAGUUCGUGGAUCGAUUUGUCUGGUUUAUUCCGAUAGAGAGCGAGACUCUAGCCUACUAAAUGGUAACGAGAUUACCACUGUCUCGCUUGCUUCUUAGAGGGAUUUUCCGUGGUUAGCCGCCCGAGAUUGAGCAAUAACAGGUCUGUGAUGCUCUUAGAUGUGCGGGGCUGCACGCGUGAUACACUGGGAAAAUCGUCGUGCAAUAUCCAUUCUCGAAAGAGAUUGGUAAACCCAUGAAAAUUUGCCGUGAUUGGGAUCCGAAAUUGCGAUUAUUUUCCGUGAACGAUCUAUUCCAAGUAAGUGCGAGUCAUCAACUCGCGUUGAUUACGUCGCUGCUCUUCGCACACACCGGCCGUCGCUGGACGGAACUGACCCAUAUACAGA